Molecule: ribosomal RNA, 390 nt
Filed under: uncultured bacterium
Lineage: Bacteria
Description: bacterial SSU rRNA
Rfam family: Bacterial small subunit ribosomal RNA
Source: RNAcentral
GACGAACGCUGGCGGCGUGCUUAACACAUGCAAGUCGAGCGGUAAGGCCCUUUCGGGGGUACACGAGCGGCGAACGGGUGAGUAACACGUGGGUGACCUGCCCUCAGCUCUGGGAUAAGCCUGGGAAACCGGGUCUAAUACUGGAUAUGACUCCAUGACGCAUGUUGUGGGGUGGAAAGCCUUGUGCGGCUGAGGAUGGGCCCGCGGCCUAUCAGCUUGUUGGUGGGGNGAUGGCCCACCAAGGCGACGACGGGUAGCCGGCCUGAGAGGGCGACCGGCCACACUGGGACUGAGACACGGCCCAGACUCCUACGGGAGGCAGCAGUGGGGAAUCUUGCGCAAUGGGCGAAAGCCUGACGCAGCGACGCCGCGUGAGGGAUGACGGCCUGG